This is a long non-coding RNA of Daucus carota subsp. sativus, 412 nucleotides long. RefSeq lists it as uncharacterized. Lineage: Eukaryota; Viridiplantae; Streptophyta; Magnoliopsida; Apiales; Apiaceae. The transcript is spliced from 3 exons. The record is from RefSeq and is a predicted model, not a curated record.
GGUUAAUGUUCGGUUACAAAACUUAAGAGGGCAAGAAAAGGUGUAUUGAGCAGAACAAUCAGAAAUAUUCUGUCAGUUGUUUUCAAGAAUAUUUAUAAUUGGAACUUGGAGCCUAUUAUAUAUCAAGCUAAGGACCUAAGUAAAAAGCGAGUAUGGCACGAAUCAAGUUAACCGCUCGGAAGCGGGGGCGAGCUCGGAUAAGGGAAAGGCGCAUCACUCCAGCUGAAGCUGCCAGACAACGAAGAAUAGUAGGAACUCGAGCUGUAGUUGUUCUCUUUUGGUUUCAACCAUUUUUAUAUGUAAUCAUAUUAGUAGUUUGGAUGUAAGUUAGGCGAUCGACCCUGGACUUGUGGGGCGAGAGUCGGAUAUUGUAUAAUAUUAAUAUCUAUGCAAGUGUUGUUUUGAUGUCAAA